CCAAUCGAACUCGGAGAUAGCUGGUUCUCCCCGAAAUAGCUUUAGGGCUAGCCUCGUUUUAAAUUACCGGGGGUAGAGCACUGAAUGGGCUAGGGGGCCACAAAGCUUACCGAACCCUAUCAAACUUCGAAUACCGGAUAAUUGAUGAACGGGAGUCAGACGGCGGGAGAUAAGUUUCGUCGUCAAAAGGGAAACAGCCCAGAUCUACGACUAAGGUCCCGAAAUCACAGUUAAGUGGAAAAGGAUGUGCAGUUGCACAGACAACCAGGAUGUUGGCUUAGAAGCAGCCACUCAUUUAAAGAGUGCGUAAUAGCUCACUGGUCGAGUGAUUGUGCGCCGAAAAUGUACCGGGGCUAAACUGUGUACCGAAGUCUAGGGAUCGUGAUAAACGAUCGGUAGGGGAGCAACGUGUGCGGGCUGAAGCCGAAGCGGAAGCGACGGUGGACUGCACGGGAGAGAGAAUGCCGGCAUGAGUAGCGAGAGCAAAGUGAGAAUCUUUGCCGUCGAAAGCCUAAGGUUUCCUGAGGAAGGCUCGUCCUCUCAGGGUAAGUCAGGACCUAAGCCGAGGACAAAAGUCGUAGGCGAUGGACAACUGGUUGAUAUUCCAGUACCACCUUUAGCGUUUGACUGAAGCAGUGACACAGAAGGAUAGACAGAGCGCGUGACUGGUAGAGCGCGUCCAAGCGAUGAGGGAGUUGAUUAGUGAAGUACGGUCAGCAAUCCUGGGUCGUGAUGGGGACUGAAAAUAAGUAGGGAAGCUGUUGAAUUCACGCUGGCGAGAAAAGCUGCUAAGGAGCGAAAGGGUGCCUGUACCGCAAACCGACACAGGUAGGCGAGGAGAGAAUCCUAAGACGAGCGGGAGAACCCAUGUUAAGGAACUCGGCAAAAUGACCCUGUAACUUCGGGAUAAAGGGAGCCACGAGAGUGGCCGCAGAGAAUAGGCCCAAGCGACUGUUUACCAAAAACACAGGUCUGUGCGAAGUAGAGAUACGACGUAUACGGGCUGACGCCUGCCCAGUGCCGGAAGGUUAAGGGGAAGUGUUAGGGCAACCGAAGCACGGAACUUAAGCCCCGGUGAACGGCGGCCGUAACUAUAACGGUCCUAAGGUAGCGAAAUUCCUUGUCGGGUAAGUUCCGACCCGCACGAAUGGCGUAACGACUUGGGCACUGUCUCAACAUGGGACCCGGCGAAAUUGUAGUAUGUGUGAAGAUGCACAUUACCCGCGAUAGGACGGAAAGACCCCGUAGAGCUUUACUGUAGUUUAACAUUGGAUUUCGGUAACAUAUGUACAGGAUAGGUGGGAGGCGAAGAACCAGGGACGCCAGUUUCUGGGGAGCCGACCUUGGGAUACCACUCUUGUGUUAUUGGAGUUCUAACGAAUUGCCGUGAACCGGGAUUCGGACAGUGUUAGAUGGGCAGUUUGACUGGGGCGGUCGCCUCCCAAAGAGUAACGGAGGCGUCCAAAGGUUCCCUCAGAAUGGUUGGAAACCAUUCGCAGAGUGUAAAGGCAGAAGGGAGCUUGACUGCGAGACCGACAGGUCGAGCAGGUGCGAAAGCAGGGCUUAGUGAUCCGGCGGUAUGAGAGUGGAAUUGCCGUCGCUCAACGGAUAAAAGCUACCCUGGGGAUAACAGGCUGAUCUCCCCCAAGAGUCCACAUCGACGGGGAGGUUUGGCACCUCGAUGUCGGCUCAUCGCAUCCUGGGGCUGAAUUCGGUCCCAAGGGUUUGGCUGUUCGCCAAUUAAAGCGGCACGCGAGCUGGGUUCAGAACGUCGUGAGACAGUUCGGUCCCUAUCCAUCGUGGGCGCAGGAGAUUUGAGAGGAGCUGUCCCUAGUACGAGAGGACCAGGAUGGACGCACCAAGGGUGAAUCAGUUGUUCUGCCAAGAGCAUAGCUGGGUAGCCAAGUGCGGAUCGGAUAAACGCUGAAGGCAUCUAAGCGUGAAGCCGACCUCAAGAUAAGAUCUCCCACCAGAAAUGGGUAAGACCCCUGGAAGACUACCAGGUUGAUAGGUCGGAGGUGGAAGUGCAGCAAUGCAUGUAGCUGACCGAUACUAAUAGGUCGAGGGCUUGAUCAA
RNAcentral lists this ribosomal RNA (2076 nucleotides) under human gut metagenome. RNAcentral's name for it is "bacterial LSU rRNA". It matches the Rfam family "Bacterial large subunit ribosomal RNA", at positions 829 to 2925 of the family's 2925-position model. The record is from RNAcentral.